This 253-nucleotide ribosomal RNA is filed under the name uncultured microorganism. Its description in RNAcentral is "partial small subunit ribosomal RNA". It matches the Rfam family "Bacterial small subunit ribosomal RNA", at positions 524 to 776 of the family's 1533-position model. The record is from RNAcentral.
UACGUAGGUGGCAAGCGUUGUCCGGAUUUACUGGGUGUAAAGGGCGUGCAGCCGGGCUGACAAGUCAGAUGUGAAAACCAGGGGCUCAACCUCUGGAGUGCAUUUGAAACUGUUGGUCUUGAGUAUCGGAGAGGUAACCGGAAUUCCUAGUGUAGCGGUGAAAUGCGUAGAUAUUAGGAAGAACAUCAGUGGCGAAGGCGGGUUACUGGACGACAACUGACGGUGAGGCGCGAAAGCGUGGGGAGCAAACAGG